Molecule: non-coding RNA, 73 nt
Organism: Ixodes scapularis (black-legged tick)
Lineage: Eukaryota; Metazoa; Arthropoda; Arachnida; Ixodida; Ixodidae
Source: Rfam
UCCUGGUUAUCUCAGCUGGUAGAGCGCUCCACUGGAAACAGAGAAGCCCCUGGUUCGUCACCAGGACCAGGCG